This 619-nucleotide ribosomal RNA is filed under the name Stephanoeca apheles. Its description in RNAcentral is "bacterial SSU rRNA". It matches the Rfam family "Eukaryotic small subunit ribosomal RNA", at positions 634 to 1260 of the family's 1831-position model. The record is from RNAcentral. Lineage: Eukaryota; Choanoflagellata; Acanthoecida; Stephanoecidae.
UUGGACUUCUGAUGUGGAGGGACGGUCCGCCUCACGGNGAGGGACUGAUUCUCUGCGUCUUCCUCUCGNAGUCUUUGGGNGCACUUAUUUGGGGGGCGCGGAAUUCGGGACUUUUACUUUGAAAAAAUCAGAGUGUUCAUAGCAGGCGUUUGCUUGAAUACAUUAGCAUGGAAUAAUAGAAUAGGACUUUGGUUCUAUUUUGUUGGUUUCUAAGGACCGAAGUAAUGAUUAAUAGGGAUAGUUGGGGGCAUUCAUAUUUAAUUGUCAGAGGUGAAAUUCUUGGAUUUAUGAAAGAUGAACUUCUGCGAAAGCAUUUGCCAAGGAUGUUUUCAUUAAUCAAGAACGAAAGUUAGGGGAUCGAAGAUGAUCAGAUACCGUCGUAGUCUUAACCAUAAACUAUGCCGACUAGGGAUUGGUCAGGUUGAUUUUCUAACCUGAUCAGCACCUUAUGAGAAAUCAAAGUCUUUGGGUUCCGGGGGGAGUAUGGUCGCAAGGCUGAAACUUAAAGGAAUUGACGGAAGGGCACCACCAGGAGUGGAGCCUGCGGCUUAAUUUGACUCAACACGGGAAAACUUACCAGGUCCAGACAUAGUAAGGAUUGACAGAUUGAUAGCUCUUU